RNAcentral lists this ribosomal RNA (253 nucleotides) under uncultured bacterium. RNAcentral describes it as "partial 16S ribosomal RNA". It matches the Rfam family "Bacterial small subunit ribosomal RNA", at positions 524 to 776 of the family's 1533-position model. The record is from RNAcentral.
UACGGAGGGUGCAAGCGUUAUCCGGAUUCACUGGGUUUAAAGGGUGCGUAGGUGGGUUGGUAAGUCAGUGGUGAAAUCUCCGUGCUUAACAUGGAAACUGCCAUUGAUACUACUGAUCUUGAAUUUUCGGGAGGUAAGCGGAAUAUGUCAUGUAGCGGUGAAAUGCUUAGAUAUGACAUAGAGCACCAAUUGCGAAGGCAGCUUACUACAGGAAUAUUGACACUGAUGCACGAAAGCGUGGGGAUCAAACAGG